CCGUCGAUAGCUCAGUUGGCAGAGCGAUUGGACUGUAAAUCCAUAGGUCGCUGGUUCGAAUCGGCUCGACGGA
Molecule: transfer RNA, 73 nt
Filed under: Trichonephila inaurata madagascariensis
Lineage: Eukaryota; Metazoa; Arthropoda; Arachnida; Araneae; Nephilidae
Description: tRNA-Tyr
Rfam family: tRNA
About the family: Transfer RNA (tRNA) molecules are approximately 80 nucleotides in length.
Source: RNAcentral